AGUGAACGCUGGCGGUAGGCCUAACACAUGCAAGUCGAACGGCAGCACAGUAAGAGCUUGCUCUUACGGGUGGCGAGUGGCGGACGGGUGAGGAAUACAUCGGAAUCUACUUUUUCGUGGGGGAUAACGUAGGGAAACUUACGCUAAUACCGCAUACGACCUACGGGUGAAAGCAGGGGAUCUUCGGACCUUGCGCGAUUGUAUGAGCCGAUGUCGGAUUAGCUAGUUGGCGGGGUAAAGGCCCACCAAGGCGACGAUCCGUAGCUGGUCUGAGAGGAUGAUCAGCCACACUGGGACUGAGACACGGUCCAGACUCCUACGGGAGGCAGCAGUGGGGAAUAUUGGACAAUGGGCGCAAGCCUGAUCCAGCCAUACCGCGUGGAUGAAGAAGGCCUUCGGGUUGUAAAGCCCUUUUGUUGGGAAAGAAAAGCAGCAGGUUAAUACCCCGCUGUUCUGACGGUACCCAAAGAAUAAGCACCGGCUAACUUCGUG
RNAcentral lists this ribosomal RNA (492 nucleotides) under uncultured bacterium. RNAcentral describes it as "partial 16S ribosomal RNA". It matches the Rfam family "Bacterial small subunit ribosomal RNA", at positions 29 to 507 of the family's 1533-position model. The record is from RNAcentral.